This 728-nucleotide long non-coding RNA is filed under the name Brassica rapa (field mustard). RNAcentral describes it as "long non-coding RNA (BRAP_LNC004096)". The record is from RNAcentral. Lineage: Eukaryota; Viridiplantae; Streptophyta; Magnoliopsida; Brassicales; Brassicaceae.
CAAGGACACAAGCAACGUGGAGUGCCAAGUUGAUGAAGAAAAAAAUCAGAAGAGGGUUUCAGACAUGGGAGACGAAUAUGCCGCUUCUACAUCUUCGAGUUGUCAGAUUGAUCUAUGGAAGUAAGCAAAAAGAGAAGACUUUAUCAUAUAAAUGCAUAUAUACAUAUAUCUAUAUACGUACACGCGAACACUAAUCAAGUGUAGAGAUGAUGAUGGUACAGAUUUAUAUUUUGUUUGAUUGAUUCUUACUACAUUAUUGAACUUAUAUAUGUUAUAUGAAUAUGUACAUGGCGUAUCGAUGCAUACAUACUUGUACUCGAUAUGAUUAACCAUAUAUACUCUAAUCUAAGUCAUGUAACUCCAAUAUUUUCUAGUAAACAGUUGUACCUUAAUUAUUAUUUGUCAUAUUCUCACUGUACUAUAUAGACAACUCAAUUUGUUCUUUAGAAGUGCACCAUAUUAAAGUUGAAAAUCAAGAUUCUUGAAUUUCAUAUUCUGGACAAUAAUGCUUGAAUUAUGUAUUUAUUAAACAUGUCCAAUAGUAUUAACACACAAUCUACAAGUCAUAAGUAUAUAUAGCAAAUUCAGAAUAUGUAUUCAAAUAAGACAUGUGGUCUGACCACUUACCGGAGUUGUGUUUAUGGGGAUAAUAACCCCAAGGAAGCUUGAAGGAUAUGUAUAACCAUAAAUAGUGAAAAAUAAAAUGGAGAAGAGAAUGUGGCUUGAAG